Molecule: ribosomal RNA, 1320 nt
Filed under: Triticum aestivum (bread wheat)
Lineage: Eukaryota; Viridiplantae; Streptophyta; Magnoliopsida; Poales; Poaceae
Description: partial small subunit ribosomal RNA
Source: RNAcentral
AUGGCGUCUUCCGGUGCUGACCCUGCUGGGCGCCGAGCGACCCUCUCCGACGGCGACUGCGUGUCCUCUGGUGGCAGCGUGUUCGACUUGGAGAGCGAGCCCUCGCCACGUUCCUACAGCAACGUCGCCCGGACCCCGCCGGCCCCGACGCCCCCUCGGCAGCCCGCCUCGACCCGCCUCGGCCCCCGUUCCGAGGUGCACCGCGUCUCCGGCGGGGUUCACGUCGAUGCUGACGGCUUCCAGCAGCCACGAUGCAGGCACCGCAGAAGCCGCCCGCGCACUCCGGUCGGGCCAAGCCCUCCGCCGCUGCGCUGGUGCAGCCCAUCGCCAGAGAAGGUCGCGGGGCUCUGCUUCCGCUGCCUUGGCCAUCGUCAUUGGGUUCGGGACUGCCCCAACGACAUCCGCUGCCGCCGAUGCCUCGAGUCUGGCCACGACUCACGCUCCUGCGGAAGCAGGCGCCACGACGCCGCUGGACGUGCCCGCACCACCAACAACCGCGUUGGCCCCUCUGCCAUGGACGCCGCCAUGCGCCAGGCCGCACCUCCGCCGCCACCCCUGCCGCAGGCGACCGCCCUAGUCGUUGCCCCCCCCCCUCGCACGUCGGAGCCCGAGCCCAUGCGGGUGAUCAUGGCACACUCCGUCGAGAUGGAGGAGGCUGAGGAGGUCCUAAGCCGCGAAAUGGUCGCCUCCAUCACCGGCAACCGACCACGUGUAUCCGGCACAGAGGUCUCCGACGUGCUCAUCAACACGUUCGAGCUGGACGACGACGACUUCACCGUGCACGAACACCAUCCCGAGGAUUUCUUGAUCCUCUUCAGCUCCCACACCACCAAGCGCCGCCUCAACGGAGAGCACUUCAUCAACUUGCCGCGGUUCUCGCUCUCCCUCAGACCAUGGAGUAAGCUCGCCCAUGCUGGCUCCGGCGAGCUUGAGUACUACGUUGAGCUGGAGCUCCGCAGCGUUCCGGCACAGGCUUGGCACCUGUCCAGCGCCGAGCAUGUCCUGGGUACGAGCUGCUGGAUCGAACGCCUCCAUCCCAGGACGUGCUCCAGGGCCAAUCUUGCGACGUUCAAGCUGGCCGCGCGCACACACCACCCCGACAACAUCCAUCACGCCGCCGUUCUGGAGAUUGUUGAGCAGAUCCCUGCACGCCUGAGCUCCGACAAGCCCACCAUCAGGACCCUCACCUACCCUAUCGCCGAGAGGAUUGGCUGUGAAAACAGCUCAAGAUCUCAUACUUGGGGCUGGCUUCUAUCGAGCGCACGAUCGCGAGGCAGCGAGCGCGGAUCACCACGCUCAAGGACGGUGACGCUAACAUGA